GUACAAAUCCACUGAACACACUCUGGAUGCCGGAAGCUACUGAGGUUGCUUAGGCGCCUGCAGCCAUCAACUGAUCUACGUGCCUGGGAAGGGGCAAAGCUGACACAGACUACUCGUUCAUGUCAGCUGUUCCUGUUAGUGUGCCGAUUUCACAAUGUGAAUGGGUGAAGUGCUCAGAGGAGGAAAGUUGAAGUUUUCAUGUAAACUAAGUAGCCACACUCAAAGCUGAGUUACUAACAGAGACUAUCAAGGUACAUGCUGAAGUCUGGAAGAGAACAGCAGCCCUUGAAUGACCAUGGCUAUUGGAGGAACUUCCCUGGCAAGUGCAAUGUGGCCAUCUUACUGAGAAGGUCUGCGGAUGCGAAGCCAUGUAGAGACCUGGAUCCUCACCACGCCAGAGGUCUAAUGGCAGAAACUGAUGGAGGCAGGAUGCUCAGACCAGCCUGGCAAGGUAGCCCUGAAGCAGGGAUCAUAACCAUCAUUUGCUGAAGGAGUGGGUGGAUGGAUGACCACACUAGACCACGACUGCAGGGCUGACGGCUGGCUCCUGCCCUUGCUUCCUAUUGAGGGGCCAGAUGGGGGAAUCCCAUGGCUUCUGCAGUGUGUGCCCCCGAUACCAUCAUCAUGACUAGCCUCUCCACAUGCUAUUUCCAAGGAACGGUCAGCAGAUACACAGACUACGUAUGAAGGAGUCUCCUGUCGGGGCACCCACUCCCUGCUGGCUCUUGUGGUUUGAAUGAGAAAUGCAUCACCUAGGCUCAUGUAUUUGAACACCUGGUUCCCAGAGAGUGAUGAUGUUUGGAGAAGUUACCUUUGGGAGGUACACCCUGGCUGGAGGAAGUACAUCGAAGGAUUUGAGAAUCUAUAGCCACCUCCUGCUCUCCAUCUCUGCUUCCUGUGUGUGGCUGAGAUGUGAUCUCUCUGCUUCCUGGCCCUGCCACCCACAUCUGUACCUCCCAGGCUAUUUGUUAUGGGCUCUCCUGAAACCACAGGCCAAAUUAAACUUGCUGUUCUAG
Mus musculus (house mouse) is the source of this 1016-nucleotide long non-coding RNA. RefSeq annotates it as RIKEN cDNA 2900057B20 gene. The record is from RefSeq and is marked validated. The transcript has 3 exons. Lineage: Eukaryota; Metazoa; Chordata; Mammalia; Rodentia; Muridae.